AGAGUUUGAUCCUGGCUCAGAAUGAACGUUGGCGGCGUGGAUUAGGCAUGCAAGUCGAGCGAGAACCCCGCAAGGGGGGACAGCGGCAAACGGGGUAGUAAUGUGUCGGAACGUGCCCGGUGGACGGGGAUAGCGGCGGGAAACUGCCGGUAAUACCCGAUGAUCUCGAGAGAGCGAAGGUGUGAUUCCGCCUUUGGAGCGGCCGACAUGGUAUUAGCUAGUUGGUGAGGUAACGGCCCACCAAGGCUUUGAUGCCUAGGGGAUGUGAGAGCAUGAUCCCCACCAUUGGGACUGAGACACUGCCCAGACACCUACGGGUGGCUGCAGUCGAGAAUCUUCGUCAAUGGGCGAAAGCCUGAACGAGCGACGCCGCGUGCGGGAUGAAGGCCCUUGGGUUGUAAACCGCUGUCGAGGGGGAUGAAGGCUUGAAGGUACUCCUUCAAGUUUGACAGAGCCCUGGAGGAAGCACGGGCUAAGUUCGUGCCAGCAGCCGCGGUAAUACGAACUGUGCGAACGUUAUUCGGAAUCACUGGGCUUACAGGGUGCGUAGGCGGCUAUUCAGGUCAGGUGUGAAAGCCCUCGGCUCAACCGAGGAACUGCGCUUGAAACCGGAUGGCUCGAGUCAACUAGAGGUGCACGGAACUUCCAGUGGAGCGGUGAAAUGUGUUGAUAUUGGAAGGAACACCGGAGGCGAAAGCGG
RNAcentral lists this ribosomal RNA (700 nucleotides) under uncultured bacterium. Its description in RNAcentral is "bacterial SSU rRNA". It matches the Rfam family "Bacterial small subunit ribosomal RNA", at positions 8 to 724 of the family's 1533-position model. The record is from RNAcentral.